UUCUUAUUUAGAGAGAUGGAGGGACUGGCCCUUUGAUAUCUCAGCAACAGACUUUUUUUGCACUGUGCUAAUUCCAGAAGCGUAACGCUUGAAGAUAAGAA
This 101-nucleotide non-coding RNA is filed under the name Viridibacillus arenosi. RNAcentral's name for it is "SAM-I sequence". It matches the Rfam family "SAM riboswitch aptamer (S box leader)". Rfam says of the family: The SAM riboswitch is found upstream of a number of genes which code for proteins involved in methionine or cysteine biosynthesis in Gram-positive bacteria. The SAM riboswitch acts at the level of transcription termination control. The record is from RNAcentral. Lineage: Bacteria; Bacillati; Bacillota; Bacilli; Caryophanales; Caryophanaceae. RNAcentral also lists the same sequence under 1 other name.